CCCUUAGAGUUUGAUCCUGGCUCAGAGCGAACGCUGGCGGCAGGCUUAACACAUGCAAGUCGAGCGCCCCGCAAGGGGAGCGGCAGACGGGUGAGUAACACGUGGGAACGUACCCUUCAGUUCGGAACAACCCAGGGAAACUUGGGCUAAUACCGGAUACGUCCGAAAGGAGAAAGAUUUAUCGCUGAAGGAUCGGCCCGCGUCUGAUUAGCUAGUUGGUGGGGUGAUGGCCCACCAAGGCUACGAUCAGUAGCUGGUCUGAGAGGAUGAUCAGCCACAUUGGGACUGAGACACGGCCCAAACUCCUACGGGAGGCAGCAGUGGGGAAUAUUGGACAAUGGGCGCAAGCCUGAUCCAGCCAUGCCGCGUGAGUGAUGAAGGCCCUAGGGUUGUAAAGCUCUUUUAGCGGGGAAGAUAAUGACGGUACCCGCAGAAAAAGCCCCGGCUAACUUCGUGCCAGCAGCCGCGGUAAUACGAAGGGGGCUAGCGUUGCUCGGAAUCACUGGGCGUAAAGCGCACGUAGGCGGCUUCUUAAGUCAGGGGUGAAAUCCUGGAGCUCAACUCCAGAACUGCCUUUGAUACUGGGGAGCUCGAGUCCGGGAGAGGUGAGUGGAACUGCGAGUGUAGAGGUGAAAUUCGUAGAUAUUCGCAAGAACACCAGUGGCGA
Molecule: ribosomal RNA, 667 nt
Filed under: uncultured bacterium
Lineage: Bacteria
Description: bacterial SSU rRNA
Rfam family: Bacterial small subunit ribosomal RNA
Source: RNAcentral